Long non-coding RNA from Oncorhynchus keta (chum salmon), 520 nucleotides. RefSeq lists it as uncharacterized. The transcript has 6 exons. The record is from RefSeq and is a predicted model, not a curated record. NCBI's taxonomy places the organism in Eukaryota, Metazoa, Chordata, Actinopteri, Salmoniformes, Salmonidae.
CAGAUGUCAGGCACAGAGGAUGUGGAGUCAAUGUCAGGUACAGAGGAUGUGGAGUCAAUGUCAGGUGUCAGGCACAGAGGAUGUGGAGUCAAUGUCAGGUGUCAGGCACAGAGGAUGUGGAGACAAUGUCAGGUGUCAGGCACAGAGGAUGUGGAGUCAAUGUCAGGUGUCAGGCACAGAGGAUGUGGAGACAAUGUCAGGUGUCAGGCACAGAGGAUGUGGAGUCAAUGUCAGGUGUCAGGCACAGAGGAUGUGGAGACAAUGUCAGGUGUCAGGCACAGAGGAUGUGGAGUCAAUGUCAGGUGUCAGGUACAGAGGAUGUGGAGACAAUGUCAGGUGUCAGGCACAGAGGAUGUGGAGACAAUGUCAGGCACAGAGGAUGUGGAGUCAAUGUCAGGUGUCAGGCACAGAGGAUGUGGAGUCAAUGUCAGGCACAGAGGAUGUGGAGUCAAUGUCAGGCACAGAGGAUGUGGAGUCAAUGUCAGGUGUCAGGCACAGAGGAUGUGGAGUCAAUGUCAGG